This 741-nucleotide ribosomal RNA is filed under the name Phlyctis argena. Its description in RNAcentral is "eukaryotic LSU rRNA". The stretch from base 397 to 550 matches the Rfam family "5.8S ribosomal RNA". The record is from RNAcentral. Lineage: Eukaryota; Fungi; Ascomycota; Lecanoromycetes; Phlyctidaceae.
UAUCAGUCUGCGGGGUCAUCUACGAAAGAUAAUCUGCUACCGGAUUUAAAAAUCUGGUUCACAGGCUAAACGGUAGUGGGUGCAUUAUGCAUUUUAGAUAUGGUCGGUCCCUGAAUCGCUUCAGGAUAACUUCAAGGCUCCGUAUUUANGUAUCAUAACCCUAUUAUGAGCGAAGUUGAUAUUAAAAACGUUCCGUAGGUGAACCUGCGGAAGGAUCAUUAAUGAGUAAGGGUCCCUCGGGGCCCAAACCUCCAACCCUAUGUACAUCUUACUUUGUUGCUUUGGCGGGCCGUGGUCUUGUGCCCGACUGGUUUCUACCCGUCCGCGCCCGCCAAUAGCCCAACCCAAAUUCUUUUAAACCGUCUCAAGUCAGUCUUAUAAAUACNAACAGUUAAAAACUUUCAACAACGGAUCUCUUGGUUCUGGCAUCGAUGAAGAACGCAGCGAAAUGCGAUAAGUAAUGUGAAUUGCAGAAUUCAGUGAAUCAUCGAAUCUUUGAACGCACAUUGCGCCCUCUGGUAUUCCGGGGGGCAUGCCUGUUCGAGCGUCAUUUCAACCCUCAAGCUCAGCUUGGUAUUAGGCGGCUGCUCCCUGCGAGCACCUCUGAAAAUUAGCGGCAGUUUGAUCAGACUUUGAGCGCAAUAGCUUUAUUCUCGCUGGAAAGUUCUGAUCGGGCUUGCCGAACAACCCCAAAUUUUUCAAUGGUUGACCUCGGAUCAGUAGGGAUACCCGCUGAACUUA